Molecule: unclassified non-coding RNA, 280 nt
Filed under: soil metagenome
Description: partial contains small subunit ribosomal RNA, internal transcribed spacer 1, and 5.8S ribosomal RNA
Source: RNAcentral
UUUCCGUAGGUGAACCUGCGGAAGGAUCAUUAACACCGUUUUUUAGCCGCUCUCUGCUGCCCCUAAUUUUUUUUGGGGGUAGUAGGUGGACGGCUUUCAAAACACAAUUUUUCCAACCCCAAAAAUUCUUUGUGAACAUUUAGUAUUUUCCCUCAUAUCAUAAACACCAAAUGCAAUACAUCAUUUUAUAACUAAAAAAAUUUCGAGACUUUUUGUUUCGAAUAUUUUUAUUUUUUAAAAACAAACUGAACAACUCUUAACAACGGAUAUCUUGGUUCUC